UACGGAGGGUGCGAGCGUUGUCCGGAAUCACUGGGCGUAAAGGGCGCGUAGGCGGCUCAUGAAGGCUGUGGUGAAAGUCCGGGGCUCAACCUCGGAUCGGCCGUGGCGACUCGUGGGCUGGAGCACUGUAGAGGCGGGUGGAAUUCCGGGUGUAGCGGUGGAAUGCGCAGAUAUCAGGAGGAACACCGAUGGCGAAGGCAGGUCUCUGGGCAUUAACUGACGCUGAGGAGCGAAAGCAUGGGGAGCGAACAGG
RNAcentral lists this ribosomal RNA (253 nucleotides) under uncultured bacterium. RNAcentral describes it as "partial 16S ribosomal RNA". It matches the Rfam family "Bacterial small subunit ribosomal RNA", at positions 524 to 776 of the family's 1533-position model. The record is from RNAcentral.